RNAcentral lists this ribosomal RNA (253 nucleotides) under uncultured bacterium. Its description in RNAcentral is "partial 16S ribosomal RNA". It matches the Rfam family "Bacterial small subunit ribosomal RNA", at positions 524 to 776 of the family's 1533-position model. The record is from RNAcentral.
UACGUAGGUGGCAAGCGUUGUCCGGAUUUAUUGGGUUUAAAGGGUGCGUAGGCGGCUUUGUAAGUCAGUGGUGAAAUACGGCAGCUCAACUGGCGAGGUGCCAUUGAUACUGCAGAGCUAGAGUACUGAUGAGGUAGGCGGAAUGGACGGUGUAGCGGUGAAAUGCUUAGAUAUCGUCCAGAACACCGAUAGCGAAGGCAGCUUACUAAAGAGUAACUGACGCUGAGGCACGAAAGUGUGGGGAUCAAACAGG